Myotis lucifugus (little brown bat) is the source of this 64-nucleotide non-coding RNA. The record is from Rfam. Lineage: Eukaryota; Metazoa; Chordata; Mammalia; Chiroptera; Vespertilionidae.
GGCCUCCCUCUUUGGGGUGAUCGAUCAUGGGACUCCACCAUCGAUCACCCCAAAGAGGUGGGCC